Molecule: unclassified non-coding RNA, 153 nt
Filed under: uncultured Entoloma
Lineage: Eukaryota; Fungi; Basidiomycota; Agaricomycetes; Agaricales; Entolomataceae
Description: sequence contains ITS1
Source: RNAcentral
UUGAAUAAAAUUGUUUGAGUUGUUGCUGACUCUUUGGAGUAUAUGUGCACGCUCACAUCAUUUUUAACCACCUGUGCACCAUUUGUAGACUGUAAAUGCUUGAGGACCCCAAACUCUGAAUGUUAGUGUCGUCUGAGUACUAUAUAAUAGUUA